This 629-nucleotide long non-coding RNA is filed under the name Phoenix dactylifera (date palm). Its description in RNAcentral is "long non-coding RNA (PDAC_LNC020354)". The record is from RNAcentral. Lineage: Eukaryota; Viridiplantae; Streptophyta; Magnoliopsida; Arecales; Arecaceae.
UCUUUCUUCACAGGGGAAGAAUGAAGAGAGGAAGAGAGAGGGUUUGGGAGUGAGAGAGAGAGAAUAUGGGGUUGGUGAAGGGAGGUUGAAGAAAAGAAGAAGAAUAAAAGAAAGAAAGGAAGAGGGAAAAGAAGAGAGGAAGAGGGGACUCAUCCUCCUCGUCGUGUGCGGCGGCCGCCGGCUUCGGCCGCGAGCACCGUCGUCACAGGCUCGGCCGAGGACGCCGCGGGGCCUAGCCGUGGACGCCGCCGGUUGUGGCCCGGCCUUCUUCCGCUCACCGUCCUCCCUUUCCGCUCGUCGUGCUCCCAUCGUCGGAGAAGAGAGGAAGGGGGAGAUCGGGAUGAAAGAAGAAGGGAGGAGAGGAAGCUUCGGGAAGGAGAAGAAAAGAAAAAGGAGAAGAGAAGAAAAGGAAAGAAAAAGGGAAAGAAAAAGAAAAAGAAAAAAAUAAGGAAAAGAGAAGGAAAAAAAAAGAAAAAAAAAUAAAAUGGGUUUAGCCAAAUUUGACUAACCCAAGCCCAAUUAGACUGGGCUAAGUCUAAAUCCGAGCUCAAUCAGAUUGGGCUAAGUUUGGACGAGCCCAAACUAUAAAUUGGGUUAAAUCCGAGCUAAUUUUAAGUUAAAUUGAAAUA